RNAcentral lists this long non-coding RNA (645 nucleotides) under Pan troglodytes (chimpanzee). Its description in RNAcentral is "long non-coding RNA NONPTRT012644". The record is from RNAcentral. Lineage: Eukaryota; Metazoa; Chordata; Mammalia; Primates; Hominidae.
AGCUCCUGCCUAUAAAAGCAAGGAGGAGAAACAUUUCCAGAACAGUUUGAGGCAGUGAAUUAUUUGGCACAAAGACACUAAGGAACAGGAUCCUCAUUCCAAACACGGUGAUAAGCAGCAGUUGAGCUCCCAGCAGCCAGAGCGAUGCUAAGCUCCAAUUAUAUCAUUAUAUUCCCAGGAAGCACAAAAGCAGACUCCUUACAGACCUGAAAUAGCCCCACAGGGGAUGAGAAUAUAUCUGGGGUCUCUGAGAGCACAGCAGAAGAUUGGCAAUUACAUUUGGGAAACCUGAUCGGACUGGCUUGCCCUGAGUCCUUAGAGAAAAGAUUAAUUUUCCUCAUCAUGAUAUUCUACAUGAUAGAUCUAUAUUUCCACAAACAGUCAAGGUACACUACCCUUCAGGUGGUCACUUCAAAAUCAAACACUAAAAUGCAACUGCAGGAGGUGCAGGGACUUAUAUGUCAAUCUGCCUGUGUGCUGUUGUAUACUAUCUGCCAAAGGCUGUGCAAUCUCAUCUUUCACUUUGUCUCCUAUUACCUCUAGGGGAUAAGGGUGUACUGGAUGCAUCUUUGAGGAUUCAUGAACAUCAGGCCAGGGGGAUUGAGCUAUAUUAAAUUUAAGGGGAAAAGUUCGGAUAUUACAUGA